AGAUUCCUACGGGAGGCAGCAGUAGGGAAUCUUCCGCAAUGGACGAAAGUCUGACGGAGCAACGCCGCGUGAGUGAUGAAGGUUUUCGGAUCGUAAAGCUCUGUUGUUAGGGAAGAACAAGUGCGAGAGUAACUGCUCGCACCUUGACGGUACCUAACCAGAAAGCCACGGCUAACUACGUGCCAGCAGCCGCGGUAAUACGUAGGUGGCAAGCGUUGUCCGGAAUUAUUGGGCGUAAAGGGCUCGCAGGCGGUUUCUUAAGUCUGAUGUGAAAGCCCCCGGCUCAACCGGGGAGGGUCAUUGGAAACUGGGAAACUUGAGUGCAGAAGAGGAGAGUGGAAUUCCACGUGUAGCGGUGAAAUGCGUAGAGAUGUGGAGGAACACCAGUGGCGAAGGCGACUCUCUGGUCUGUAACUGACGCUGAGGAGCGAAAGCGUGGGGAGCGAACAGGAUUAGAUACCCUGGUAGUCCACGCCGUAAACGAUGAGUGCUAAGUGUUAGGGGGUUUCCGCCCCUUAGUGCUGCAGCUAACGCAUUAAGCACUCCGCCUGGGGAGUACGGUCGCAAGACUGAAACUCAAAGGAAUUGACGGGGGCCCGCACAAGCGGUGGAGCAUGUGGUUUAAUUCGAAGCAACGCGAAGAACCUUACCAGGUCUUGACAUCCUCUGACAACCCUAGAGAUAGGGCUUUCCCUUCGGGGACAGAGUGACAGGUGGUGCAUGGUUGUCGUCAGCUCGUGUCGUGAGAUGUUGGGUUAAGUCCCGCAACGAGCGCAACCCUUGAUCUUAGUUGCCAGCAUUUAGUUGGGCACUCUAAGGUGACUGCCGGUGACAAACCGGAGGAAGGUGGGGAUGACGUCAAAUCAUCAUGCCCCUUAUGACCUGGGCUACACACGUGCUACAAUGGACAGAACAAAGGGCUGCGAGACCGCAAGGUUUAGCCAAUCCCAUAAAUCUGUUCUCAGUUCGGAUCGCAGUCUGCAACUCGACUGCGUGAAGCUGGAAUCGCUAGUAAUCGCGGAUCAGCAUGCCGCGGUGAAUACGUUCCCGGGCCUUGUACACACCGCCCGUCACACCACGAGAGUUUGUAACACCCGAAGU
This 1101-nucleotide ribosomal RNA is filed under the name Bacillus sp. (in: firmicutes). Its description in RNAcentral is "bacterial SSU rRNA". It matches the Rfam family "Bacterial small subunit ribosomal RNA", at positions 333 to 1427 of the family's 1533-position model. The record is from RNAcentral. Lineage: Bacteria; Bacillati; Bacillota; Bacilli; Caryophanales; Bacillaceae.